RNAcentral lists this unclassified non-coding RNA (299 nucleotides) under Glomus sp. RNAcentral's name for it is "partial contains 5.8S ribosomal RNA and internal transcribed spacer 2". The stretch from base 1 to 65 matches the Rfam family "5.8S ribosomal RNA", at positions 84 to 154 of the family's 154-position model. Lineage: Eukaryota; Fungi; Glomeromycota; Glomeromycetes; Glomerales; Glomeraceae. The record is from RNAcentral.
GUGAAUCAUCAAAUCUUUGAACGCAAAUUGCACUCUCUUCGGAGAGUAUGCCUGUUUGAGGGUCAGCCUAAAAAAAAUCGACAUAGUCGCUGUUUCACAGUGGCGUUCGUCGGAAAUUGGGUUAUCUUAAAUCUUUGGUUUAAGCGACUUAAAAUUUUCUUUACGAUUCCAUGAACGUUUCUAAGAUUUAUUUCUUUACACGUUUAAGGUAUCGAUUUUUAUUAGGCUUGACCGUCGCAUCGGACCGCGUCCAUAAUGUUGACUUUCGUUAACUGACCUCAGACAGUUAAGAGUACCCG